AGAGGAUGGUUUCUUCUCUAAGAUUGAAGUUUUGUGGAUUCAAGCCCAGAUCUUGUUCAUCUUCCGCGUCACUGUUAUGUCAAUUGGUAUCAGAGUAAGUCAACAUUUCAGUCAAGAUUCAAAGAUGUCACGAGGUAAAUCUACUCAUAUUGGUGAUGAUGAUUCACUUGAAGUUGUUCCUAUGUUAAAGUCAAAUUUUCUAUUAUUUCAAGAUCGAAUAAAUUAGAAAUUUGAUGAUCUUAGUGAAACCUAGAAACAAUUUUUAACUAGAAUGAGUACAUUAGAGAGUCAUUCACAUCCUCCUAGAGAUCAUGAGAUUAAAUGUCUUUAGAAAGUCACUCAUGUCGAAUCUUCAUCAGAUACUUAUUGUACAUCUGGUUCUACAAGUUUUAAAUCAAGAUUUGAAGAAGAUAAUUUUUGAGAUUUUCACAUGAAGAUUGACUUAUUAUGUUUUAAUAAUCAUUUGAAGAUUGAAGAGUUCUUAGAUUGGUUAGUUGAAGUAGAACAAUUUUUUAAAUAUAUGAAAAUUUCAGAUGAAAAACAAGUAAAGUUAUUGGCUUAUAAAUUGAAGGGUGGAGCUUCUGCUUAGAGGGAUCAAUUACAAACCACCCGUACAAGGUCAAGCAAAGAACUUAUACGAUCAUGGGAGAAAAUGAAGGAACUUUUGAAAUCUUGUUUUCUUCUCCCAUAUUAUGAACAAAUUUUAUAUCAAUAGUAUCAAAAUUGUAGGCAAGGAAAUAGAUCAAUUUUUGAUUAUGCUGAAGAAUUUUAUCAUUUAUUUUCUCGAAUUGACAUGACAAAAUCUGAGUCAUAUAUGAUUUCAAGAUUUAAAGGUGGUCUUAGAUGGGAAAUCGAAGAUAAAGUAGCUUUACAAUCAUUUUUCAAGCUCAAUGAUAUUGUAAUGGUUGUAGAGCGUGUUGAAGCCUUAUUAGAGAAAAGAAAAACUAGAAUUCGAAAUUUUGGAAAUCAGAAUUCAACUCUUCAACUAGAAAGAGGAAGAUCCACUAGUUUUUCUUCUAUACCCCACAACACGUGAAUAAAUCAAAGUUUUAUUAGAUCAAGUAGAACAAAUCCUAUUGUCCAAGUCUCUUCUAACAAAAAUCUUUAUACUCUUAGUGUUGUUCCUAAAUGUUAUAGGUGUAGAGAAAAUGGACACAAAUCAAAUAUCUGUCUUAAAUGUGACACUGUAAACCUUGCAGAUUCUAUUGAAGAGGAAAUAAAAUAUAAAGAACCAGAAAUUGAAGGUGAGCAAGAAGAAAAUUUUAUUGAAUUUGAUAUUGGAGAUGCACUGUCUCAUUCACUUAUAGUGAGAAGAUUGAUGUAUUCACCAAAAAGAGAAGAAGACCCAC
Molecule: long non-coding RNA, 1349 nt
Filed under: Spirodela polyrhiza (greater duckweed)
Lineage: Eukaryota; Viridiplantae; Streptophyta; Magnoliopsida; Alismatales; Araceae
Description: long non-coding RNA (SPOL_LNC000223)
Source: RNAcentral